RNAcentral lists this small RNA (170 nucleotides) under Dasypus novemcinctus (nine-banded armadillo). RNAcentral's name for it is "TUC338 (ENSDNOG00000033453.1)". The record is from RNAcentral. Lineage: Eukaryota; Metazoa; Chordata; Mammalia; Cingulata; Dasypodidae.
CUGACAAACUUGGAAAGUGAAGUCAUCCAUUUAUCCACAAAACAGGCAUUGCACUUGCAGGGGCAAUAUUUGCUUCCCCUUUACUGACUUGCCAAGAAGUUUGAAUGUUUUUCCCAAAGAUCACAUAGGUGGGAAGAGUGUCACCCAUUGGGAGUGAAUGCCCACAUCAU